Molecule: non-coding RNA, 3187 nt
Organism: Camellia sinensis
Lineage: Eukaryota; Viridiplantae; Streptophyta; Magnoliopsida; Ericales; Theaceae
Source: RefSeq, a predicted model, not a curated record
UCUCAAAUCAAAAAAGGAAAAGACAAAACCAUUCAUCUUCUCUUAGUCAUCAUUGUCUCUCUCUCUUGCUCCCAGUCGUCUCUCUCUCUCUCUCUCUCUCUCUCUCGCAACCCCAACACCUCCAGCGUGGGAAGAGUUCCAGGGUUUCACAACUUCAAGGUAAACCAUGGCGAUUACUUCAGAUGGUUUUGGACAUACAAAUGUGGAUAUGACUUUUUUUGACACGUACGAAAGGGCAUUGUUUUUAUACCUCUGUUCGUAUGUAUAGUGGUCAUUAGACAUUUUGAUGGAUGCAAAGCUGACUUGGUUGUCUGUGAUGGUGCUCCUGAUGGUUAGGCAAACAAAUAUGAUUUCAACUUCAUGUUUUGUUAAGUGCGUUCCCUUGUUAACUUGGAUUUAUAUAUUUUCUGAGUUGGCUCUUUCCAUGUUCAUUUGCAGUCAUCGGACUCCAUGACAUGGAUGAAUUUGUACAGUCACAACUCAUUUUGGCUAUGAGUGUUUAGAGUCCUUUCUAAACUACUUAAUGCUUCUCUAGAAUAAUUUUUACUAUGGUUAGUUUUGGGUGGAUAUUACCUCCUAAAGUAGUAUCAAGAUGUAACAUAGAUGCAUUUGAUUGAGUUCCCAUAUGGAAAUUAAUUUACAGUUUGUGUGAAAAUGAAGAAUAAUGACAGUCAUGAGUCUUAUAGUAUUCACCCAAAAAAAGUCUUAUAGAUUUUAUACUAUUUCUGCGAUGAAAUUUCAUUGUGGACUGCCAACAGUGCAUAGUCUCCCAUCACUUCAUUGCUGCAUCUGUAUGUCCAUGUUCCCUGGCAAAAUGAACAAACUGAUUUAAAUUUGGUAGCACUUGGGCAAAGACCUUUGGCAGUUAGGGCUAUUAAGGAUAUAAAUAGUUAAGGCACCCCUUGUUCUGCCAACUUAAGCUUUUAGACGAGUUGGUGGUCAACAAUUUAACAAAAUCAAGAGGCGAAAUAUGGAAGAAAUAUCAUAAAUAAAUCUCCCUCUUAGCUUGGUGUGGAUUUUGCUUUCUAAGUUUCCAAGUUGCCUAUGUCCUGUUUGAAUUGGGAAAGCAAGGAUUUCUGUUAUGUUCUCUUUUGUUUCUCCUAUAUUUUGUUUUGAUCAGCACUUUUGUUUCUUUUACAUUUUCUUUUACUUUUUUCUCCUAUACGGGUCUUCUUUGUUUGACUGACUUGUUGCUUGUUGCGAAAAUACAAAGGAUCAUAAAGGAAACUACAAUUUUUAUGACAAAUGUGUUCAUUCCAUACACCCUUAUCUUGUCAUUAUUAUAAAUAGGGGUUUGUGAAUGCCUACUGUAUGAUUAACAAGAAAGUUCUAGAUUUGAUUAAGAGUAUCUAGAAAUUUGUGAAUCUUGUUCAAGUUUUUUGUUAGGGUUUAACAAUAGUUACUCACAUACUUAAGAAAGGUGGAAAGUUUAUCGCAAAGAUAUUCCAGGGAAAAGAUACAAGCCUCCUUUACUUUCAGGUAAGUUAAAUACUUACUGAAGCUCUCCAUUUUUUUGGAAUUAAUUUCAUCAAGCUUAAUGUAGUUUUUGUUACAAGAUUUGAAGUUUUCUUCACAUUCCUUUUGUCCAUAUGUCAAUUAGCAUUUUCUUCAGCAUGGAUUCCUAGCCUUGGUAGGUAGUGAUGGAUAAAUGUUCUUUGAAUAAAGAAGAAAAUGAGCAAGAAAACCGAACUUAUUUUAUUACAAUCAAGUGGUGCAUGUUGGAGACUUUUCGGCAUUUGAGCAUUAGUACCAAAACUAUAGUAUAUAUUUUUCCUACUGUCUUUCCCCAUAAUCUAUGUUGUGAGUACACAUGGUGAGCCAAAACUCUUAUUUUGAGUUAACUAUACAAGUUCACCAACACUAUAUUACUUCAGGGAAUAAACUUUUGCAACUUUAUAAUGUCAUUGGUCUUCUACAGAGGAUGGAAGGGGAGACUAAAAACAACUGGUUUUCUAUAGAGAAUUGGUGUGUUGGAGCCAGAAGCCUCUGCUAUGUGUGUGUUUUGUCAUGAAGGGCUUGAAUCUGUAUUUCAUCUCCUUAUAUGGUGCCCGUUUGCUUGGAGAAUUUGGUGUCAUCUGAUGCAGUGGUGGGGAUUGACUUGGGUAAUUCCACAAACAGUGGAAGGGAUUCUUAAUUAGUGGAGGGGCUUCAAGUGGAGAAAUAAUCUGACUAUGAUCUGGCGAAUUAUACCAUUUGCGGUUUUGUGGUCGUUAUGGAAAUUUAGGAAUGAGAAAGUUUUCAGUGAAAGUCAAAUGCACUUGGAGGAGCUGUGUGAAUUAAUCAAGACAAGGAUUGCAUUGUGGGCCAAAUUUUACACUCAGGAUUGCUGUUACUUAGUACAGUAGAUUAUCUGCAACAUUCAGGAGAUUCAGCUUGGAAAUGGUUAGUAUAUGGUGGAGGGGCUGGUUUUAGGUUCUGUGUUGGCUUGGAGUGAGAGGAUGUUUGGCAUAAGCUGCAGUUGUGUGAAAUGUGCUCUGCUGGUGGUCACUAAUCUGGAUCAAAUCUGCUGGCUGGUAUCAGAGGUUCAAUCCUUGCUUGAUGAUCUGGUUGGUUUGAUGGUCUGUUCUGUAUGCUGCCUGCCUGCUCUGUUUAGAAGGUCUGCUGGCUGUUUUCACUAGCUGAGCUAGACCUGAUAUGUUGAUUAGCUGUGUUUAGAUGGUGCCUUGAAGCUAGUAUGUGUUGCAGUUGCAUUUUUGUGACUUGCUGGUGCCUUUUAGGACUGUUAAGAGAGCCUUGUCUGUUUGUUCACUUUCUGAUGCCUUGAAGCAAGGGUGUGUGGCAGCUGCAGUUUUGCGCAAUGAGCUCUGCUGGUGGUCUUAUUGGUGAAGUAUGAAUAAAGGAAGUCUGCUAUUAUGCUGUGUGUAGCCAGGUUUCAAUCAAGAAAGUUUGCUGCUGUUAUGUUGCUGGUAUGUUGCUUCUAUGCUGCUGCUGGUCUGGCUGUAGGGGUUGGUUGAAUGUGUAUCAGGAUUCCCAAAUGGAUGAAGUGUAUCAGGAUCCCCUAAUACUACUCUGUCCUUUGCUUUUUCUUUUUUCUAUUCUCUUUUGUUUCCUCUAUUGGUUUCUCACCAAUUUAGGGUCUUGUGCUUUUUACUCUUCUCUUUUUGUUGAUGUAAGUUUUGUAUGUUAUACUUUCUUCAUCAAUAAAGUUGUCUUUUGUUGAUCAAAAAAAAAAAAAAUAAUGUCAUUG